RNAcentral lists this ribosomal RNA (395 nucleotides) under uncultured bacterium. Its description in RNAcentral is "partial 16S ribosomal RNA". It matches the Rfam family "Bacterial small subunit ribosomal RNA", at positions 523 to 918 of the family's 1533-position model. The record is from RNAcentral.
CUACGUAGGGUGCAAGCGUUAAUCGGAAUUACUGGGCGUAAAGCGUGCGCAGGCGGUUUUGUAAGACAGUGGUGAAAUCCCCGGGCUCAACCUGGGAACUGCCAUUGUGACUGCAAGGCUGGAGUGCGGCAGAGGGGGAUGGAAUUCCGCGUGUAGCCGUGAAAUGCGUAGAUAUGCGGAGGAACACCGAUGGCGAAGGCAAUCCCCUGGGCCUGCACUGACGCUCAUGCACGAAAGCGUGGGGAGCAAACAGGAUUAGAUACCCUGGUAGUCCACGCCCUAAACGAUGUCAACUGGUUGUUGGGGAUUUAUUUUCUCAGUAACGAAGCUAACGCGUGAAGUUGACCGCCUGGGGAGUACGGCCGCAAGGUUAAAACUCAAAUGAAUUGGCGGGG